This 253-nucleotide ribosomal RNA is filed under the name uncultured bacterium. RNAcentral describes it as "partial 16S ribosomal RNA". It matches the Rfam family "Bacterial small subunit ribosomal RNA", at positions 524 to 776 of the family's 1533-position model. The record is from RNAcentral.
UACGUAGGGGGCAAGCGUUGUCCGGAUUUAUUGGGCGUAAAGAGCGUGUAGGCGGCCUGACAGGUCUGCUGUGAAAACUCGAGGCUCAACCUCGAGAUGUCGGCGGAAACCGUCUGGCUAGAGUCCGGAAGAGGAGAGUGGAAUUCCUGGUGUAGCGGUGAAAUGCACAGAUAUCAGGAAGAACACCUAUGGCGAAGGCAGCUCUCUGGGACGGUACUGACGCUGAGACGCGAAAGCGUGGGGAGCGAACAGG